CUUAUGGCCAGGGCUGCACGCAUGCUACAAUGGCCGAUACAACGGGCAGCGAUCCAGCGAUGGUGAGCGAAUCCCUUAAAGUCGGCCUCAGUUCGGAUUGGAGUCUGCAACUCGACUCCAUGAAGUCGGAGUCGCUAGUAAUCGUGGAUCAGCAAAGCCGCGGUGAAUGCGUUCUCGGGGAUUGUACACACCGCCCGUCACGUCACGAAAGUCGGCAACACUCGAAGUCAGUGGUCCAACCUUAUGGGAGGAAGCUGCCGAAGGUGGGGUCGGCGAUUGGGACGAAGUCGUAACAAGGUAGCCGUACGGGAACGUGCGGCUGGAUCACCUCCUUU
This 335-nucleotide ribosomal RNA is filed under the name Acidimicrobiia bacterium. RNAcentral's name for it is "bacterial SSU rRNA". It matches the Rfam family "Bacterial small subunit ribosomal RNA", at positions 1201 to 1533 of the family's 1533-position model. Lineage: Bacteria; Bacillati; Actinomycetota; Acidimicrobiia. The record is from RNAcentral.